GACGGCUCAGUAACACGUGGCUAACCUACCCUCGGGUGGGGGAUAACCUCGGGAAACUGAGGAUAAUACCCCAUAGGAGAAGAGGUCUGGAAUGAUCCUUCUCUGAAAACAUAUGUGCCCGAGGAUGGGGCUGCGUCUGAUUAGGUAGUUGGUGGGGUAACGGCCCACCAAGCCUACGAUCAGUACGGGCCUUGAGAGAGGCAGCCCGGAGAUGGGGACUGAGACACGGCCCCAGGCCCUACGGGGCGCAGCAGGCGCGAAACCUCCGCAAUGCACGAAAGUGCGACGGGGGGACCCCAAGUGCUUACGCACUGCGUAGGCUUUUCUAAAGUGUAAAAAGCUUUAGGAAUAAGGGCUGGGCAAGUCCGGUGCCAGCAGCCGCGGUAACACCGGCGGCCCGAGUGGUGACCACUUUUAUUAGGCCUAAAGCGUCCGUAGCCGGUCCAGUAAGUCCCUGUUUAAAUCCUACGGCUUAACCGUAGGGCUGGCAGGGAUACUGCUGGACUUGGGACCGGGAGAGGGCGAGGGUACUUCAGGGGUAGCGGUGAAAUGUGUUGAUCCCUGGAGGACCACCUAUGGCGAAGGCACUCGCCUGGAACG
RNAcentral lists this ribosomal RNA (600 nucleotides) under uncultured archaeon. RNAcentral's name for it is "bacterial SSU rRNA". It matches the Rfam family "Archaeal small subunit ribosomal RNA", at positions 83 to 687 of the family's 1478-position model. The record is from RNAcentral.